GUCGGCGUAGCUCAAUUGGUAGAGCAACGGAUUCCAAAUCCGUAGGUCGCAGGUUCGAUUCCUGUCGCCGGUGCCA
Molecule: transfer RNA, 76 nt
Filed under: Candidatus Uhrbacteria bacterium CG_4_10_14_0_2_um_filter_41_21
Lineage: Bacteria; Candidatus Uhriibacteriota
Also listed under: 4 other names
Description: tRNA-Trp
Rfam family: tRNA
About the family: Transfer RNA (tRNA) molecules are approximately 80 nucleotides in length. Their secondary structure includes four short double-helical elements and three loops (D, anti-codon, and T loops).
Source: RNAcentral